This 19-nucleotide small nuclear RNA is filed under the name Arabidopsis thaliana (thale cress). RNAcentral describes it as "snRNA_12002". Lineage: Eukaryota; Viridiplantae; Streptophyta; Magnoliopsida; Brassicales; Brassicaceae. The record is from RNAcentral.
GCUAGCGAGUAAACGAAGC